This 482-nucleotide ribosomal RNA is filed under the name uncultured bacterium. Its description in RNAcentral is "bacterial SSU rRNA". It matches the Rfam family "Bacterial small subunit ribosomal RNA", at positions 28 to 526 of the family's 1533-position model. The record is from RNAcentral.
GAUGAACGCUGACAGAAUGCUUAACACAUGCAAGUCAAUGGGGAAGCGGUGCUUGCACCGUGAUAACCAUGGCGGACGGGUGAGUAACGCGUAAAGAACUUGCCUCUUAGUCUGGGAUAACAGAUGGAAACGACUGAUAAAACUAGAUAUUAUUAAAGUUUCGCAUGAAGCUUUAAUGAAAAGAGAUGCUAAGAGAGAGCUUUGCGUCCUAUUAGUUAGUUGGUGAGGUAACGGCUCACCAAGACGAAGAUAGGUAGCCGGUCUGAGAGGAUGAACGGCCACAAGGGGACUGAGAUACGGCCCUUACUCUUACGGGAGGCAGCAGUGGGGAAUAUUGGACAAUGGAGGAGACUCUGAUCCAGCAAUUCUGUGUGCACGAAGACGGUUUUCGGAUUGUAAAGUGCUUUCAGCAGGGAAGAAGAAAGUGACGGUACCUGCAGAAGAAGCGACGGCUAAAUACGUGCCAGCCGCCGCCGUAACAC